AGGGAGAGGAGGUGAUCUUCUCCACACACACCACUUAUACACUACAUAUACCACAUCCCACACACACACACACACCAUACACACACACACACACCACACACACACACCACACACACACAACACACACACCACACACACACUACACACACAUACACCACACACAGACACAGACACACACACACACCACACACACACACACACACACACCAUACCACACAUGCACCAUACACACACUACACACACAUACACCACACACACACACACCACACACACACACACCAUAGCACACAUACACCAUACACACACUACACACACAUACACCACACACAGACACACACACACACACGCACACACACACACCAUACCAUACAGUACACACACAUACACCACACACACACACACACCAGUUAGACACUGCGUACACUACACACACACACACGCACACACACACACACACACCACACCACACCACACAUGCACCAUACACACACCACACACACAUACACGACACACAGACACACACACACACACACACACACCAUAUACACACACCAUACCACACAGUACACACACAUACACCACACACCCCAUACUAUACCACACCACAUACACACUACACACACCACACAUGCACCGCACAUACACUACACAUACAUACACCACACACACACCAUACACACAGUACACACACAUACACCACACACACCAUACUACAUCAUACCACAUACACACUAUACCAUACACACUGUACCACACGCACUAUACCCACAUACACCACACCAGGCACCACACACUAUACAUACCACAUACACACUACAUCACACACACUAUACCCACAUACACCACACCAGGCACCACACACUAUACAUACCACAUACACACUACAUCACACACACUAUACCACACACACUACACAUACAAUAAACACACUACACACACACACCACACCAUACCACACAUACACACUAUGUACCACACCCCCCCCCCACACACACACACACACACUUCCUUUCCAAGAGGCAAAAGACCCUGUAAUAGGGCCUCCCUAGAGGUGGGAGAGAAAUCGUAACUUUGAGUGAAAUUGAAAGUUUUGAUUACUGCAUAGAACUGAACAAAAUUUCAUAGAAAUAUGACAUCCAUAUACAAAAGGCUCCUAUCAGAAACCUACAGCUCAAUGAGUUUUCACAGAACACACCUGUGUAACAAUCCCCAAGAUUGAGACACAAAAGCACCCAGUGGCUCCCUUCCGG
RNAcentral lists this long non-coding RNA (1250 nucleotides) under Bos indicus x Bos taurus (hybrid cattle). RNAcentral describes it as "lncRNA (ENSBIXG00005031073.1)". The record is from RNAcentral. Lineage: Eukaryota; Metazoa; Chordata; Mammalia; Artiodactyla; Bovidae.